This 72-nucleotide transfer RNA is filed under the name Marmota monax (woodchuck). Its description in RNAcentral is "tRNA.Asp". Lineage: Eukaryota; Metazoa; Chordata; Mammalia; Rodentia; Sciuridae. The record is from RNAcentral.
AGAGCUGUGGCUCAGUGGCAGAGCACUCACCUAUCACGUGCGAGGCCCUGGGCUUGAUCCUCAGUACCACAU